This is an RNA transcript of Helianthus annuus (common sunflower), 1533 nucleotides long. RefSeq lists it as uncharacterized. The transcript has 8 exons. The record is from RefSeq and is a predicted model, not a curated record. NCBI's taxonomy places the organism in Eukaryota, Viridiplantae, Streptophyta, Magnoliopsida, Asterales, Asteraceae.
GGCCGGACUGGAAACCACUUGAAGUACUCGAGGGUCUAAACACAUUAUUUCACCCACAGCAAUAGCACCAACAAAAUAACAAAUACCAAUAUUGCCCUUGGUAGCACAGCCACCGUAACACCACCGGCCGGAAAAUAUCUUCAUCGGCCUCCGAUCGUCAUGCCUCUUAUGGUAAUCGAUUGAUUCCGAUCUUCUUCAAUUCUCAAUCUAACGUCUGAACUUUGUCUACAACAGCGUUUAUUCUCCGAUCUCCGAUCAUCGUCUCCGACGCCGCCUGCAGCUACAGGGCUGUAAACCAAAAAAGAGAUCAAGUCACCAAACAAUGGAAGAAUGGGGUACAAAGCCGAUAAGAAGAAUCCCUACCUUGGUUGAUCUUUGUGUUCAAAAAGCUAUAGAUAAUGUUAGGUAUUUAGGUGAUGUGGGAGAGACGGACCCGUAUCUUUUAGACCUGUUUUUACCGCAUUGUACUGUAGAACAGUUGACGCAUAUUGAGGAUUCAACCGUGGACCGGGAUUUAAGCCCAGUUACUAAUAAGCUGUGGAAGAACUUUUACACGCAACAGUUUGGCUCUAAGAGCACCAAUGUUGUAGUUGAAAGAAUGAAAGAAAAGAGAGUUUCGUUUAAAUGGAGACAAUUGUAUGAGGCAAAGUUAAAGGACGUGGAGGAGGCUCAACAGAAAUCAUUUGAACGAAUAAAGCAAUUGUAUAAAAAAGAAGAUGCCAAUGAUGAAAGUGAGAAACGGGAUACCAAUAAAUAAAGUGAUCAUUUAACGGAUUCGAUUUUUAUCUGUUAAGAAGAUAAGGAAGAUGAAGUUGUUCAUAAUCCCAUCAUGAAUGAAGACAAGACUCUGAGGUCACUAGUGAUGAUGAUAUUCACGGCUCAAAAAAAAUUAAGUUAUUUGAAAUUUCAGUUGUGAUAUCUUUAUAUCCGUAGGGUAAUUUAGGAAUGAAAUUUAACUUUCUCUAUGAAUAUGAUUUCUGUUAUAUAUGUUGUAUAUAUUGUUAUCUUACGUUAAUCGUUCUUAUGUUAUGACAGAGAAACAAAGUCGGCAAGUUCAACUGUGCACCAAGGUGCCUCCCUCCAGCAGCUAUAAAAGGAGCUUCUUUGGAGGCCCCGGUAGCAGCGGCAAUACAAAGAGUGGCAUAAUGAAGAAGGCCAAACAAGAAUUUCUUAACAGCCGAGAGGUCCAAAACCGAUCUGCUAUGAAGAAGGUUACGGUGCAUAACAAUCGCAGUACACCAACAGCAAGGAGACCAAUUCAUUCGAACCCGUCUAUAAGGAAACCAACUCAUUUACCUGGAAAAUCUGCUGCCUCUAGUUCCAAAUUUAGCACACCAACAGCAAGGAGAUUCUGAAAAGCGUAUACAAGUCGCGUAAAAAAUGAUUUAAACGUUCAAAAGUCAGUGUUUGUUUCUCUAUUUACUUAAUACACCCAGUUUUCUUUACUAGUGUUGUACCAACCAAUAUGUUUGAUAAUCUGUAUCCCAAAAGUAUUCAGUUUGACAUGCAUAUCAUUCAAUUUCAAUUUUUUAA